RNAcentral lists this transfer RNA (83 nucleotides) under Sphaerobolus stellatus SS14. Its description in RNAcentral is "tRNA-Leu (TAA) (tRNA-Leu-TAA-2-1, tRNA-Leu-TAA-2-2)". It matches the Rfam family "tRNA". Rfam says of the family: Transfer RNA (tRNA) molecules are approximately 80 nucleotides in length. Their secondary structure includes four short double-helical elements and three loops (D, anti-codon, and T loops). Further hydrogen bonds mediate the characteristic L-shaped molecular structure. tRNAs have two regions of fundamental functional importance: the anti-codon, which is responsible for specific mRNA codon recognition, and the 3' end, to which the tRNAs corresponding amino acid is attached (by aminoacyl-tRNA synthetases). tRNAs cope with the degeneracy of the genetic code in two manners: having more than one tRNA (with a specific anti-codon) for a particular amino acid; and 'wobble' base-pairing, i.e. permitting non-standard base-pairing at the 3rd anti-codon position. Lineage: Eukaryota; Fungi; Basidiomycota; Agaricomycetes; Geastrales; Sphaerobolaceae. The record is from RNAcentral.
GGUAGCAUGGACGAGUGGUUUAAGUCGACAGAUUUAAGUCCUGUUGCCGUUAUGGCGCGUGGGUUCGAACCCCACUGCUACCA